Anolis carolinensis (green anole) is the source of this 173-nucleotide long non-coding RNA. RefSeq lists it as uncharacterized. Lineage: Eukaryota; Metazoa; Chordata; Lepidosauria; Squamata; Anolidae. The record is from RefSeq and is a predicted model, not a curated record. The transcript is spliced from 2 exons.
AAAUUAUGUGAGAUUUGCUGCUGACUAAACACACAGAAGGGUAUCUCAUCAGGAUGGCUGUGUGAACCAGAACUGAACUGUUUACACCAUCACAACGCACAGAUAUGUUGUAACCUGCCUCAAGCCACAAGGGCAAGAAAUACAACAACAACAACAACAACAACAACAACAAC